Molecule: ribosomal RNA, 451 nt
Filed under: uncultured Lactobacillus sp.
Lineage: Bacteria; Bacillati; Bacillota; Bacilli; Lactobacillales; Lactobacillaceae
Description: bacterial SSU rRNA
Rfam family: Bacterial small subunit ribosomal RNA
Source: RNAcentral
GACGAACGCUGGCGGCGUGCCUAAUACAUGCAAGUCGAGCGAGCGGAACUAACAGAUUUUACUUCGGUAAAGACGUUAGGAAAGCGAGCGGCGGAUGGGUGAGUAACACGUGGGGAACCUGCCCCAUAGUCUGGGAUACCACUUGGAAACAGGUGCUAAUACCGGAUAAGAAAGAAGAACGCAUGAUCAGCUUUUAAAAGGCGGCGUAAGCUGUCGCUAUGGGAUGGCCCCGCGGUGCAUUAGCUAGUUGGUAAGGUAAAGGCUUACCAAGGCGAUGAUGCAUAGCCGAGUUGAGAGACUGAUCGGCCACAUUGGGACUGAGACACGGCCCAAACUCCUACGGGAGGCAGCAGUAGGGAAUCUUCCACAAUGGACGCCAAGUCUGAUGGAGCAACGCCGCGUGAGUGAAGAAGGUUUUCGGAUCGUAAAGCUCUGUUGUUGGUGAAGAAGG